This 507-nucleotide ribosomal RNA is filed under the name uncultured bacterium. RNAcentral describes it as "partial 16S ribosomal RNA". It matches the Rfam family "Bacterial small subunit ribosomal RNA", at positions 28 to 507 of the family's 1533-position model. The record is from RNAcentral.
GACGAACGCUGGCGGCGUGCCUAAUACAUGCAAGUCGAACGCAUUUUCUUUCACCGUAGCUUGCUACACCGAAAGAAAAUGAGUGGCGAACGGGUGAGUAACACGUGGGUAACCUGCCCAUCAGCGGGGGAUAACACUUGGAAACAGGUGCUAAUACCGCAUAAUUCCAUUUACCGCAUGGUAGAUGGAUGAAAGGCGCUUUUGCGUCACUGAUGGAUGGACCCGCGGUGCAUUAGCUAGUUGGUGGGGUAACGGCCUACCAAGGCUGCGAUGCAUAGCCGACCUGAGAGGGUGAUCGGCCACACUUGGACUGAGACACGGCCCAGACUCCUACGGGAGGCAGCAGUAGGGAAUCUUCGGCAAUGGACACAAGUCUGACCGAGCAACGCCGCGUGAGUGAAGAAGGUUUUCGGAUCGUAAAACUCUGUUGUUAGAGAAGAACAAGGAUGAGAGUGGAAAGUUCAUCCCUUGACGGUAUCUAACCAGAAAGCCACGGCUAACUACGUG